CAAAAAUUAACAAUUUCAAUUUCAGCAUUUCAACUCAACUUUAAUUUCGGGUAAUGUUCUAGUAUAAGUUAUCCUUUGGUGUUUCUUGGAAAGCGAAAUAAGCAUGAAACAGUUAAAAACGUUCGAAAGCAUACUUGACGUCCUUUGAAAGUUCGUAUUAUAAAGUUGGUCGUCGUUCGCCUUUCGAAUAUGCUUCGAUUAACAAAAGAUGGUAUGGUUUCCGUGCAAGACAUUGUAUACGAGUGCAAGGGGACAUACUUUCCAGGGGCGGAUCCAGCGAAAAAUCUGACUGUAGCAUAAUCCUAAAAUUCCGAGGCACCAGCAGUCUAGGGGGG
Non-coding RNA from Paramuricea clavata, 335 nucleotides. The record is from the annotation of a GenBank genome assembly. Lineage: Eukaryota; Metazoa; Cnidaria; Anthozoa; Malacalcyonacea; Plexauridae.